GGAUCGUAAACCUCUUUUAUAAGGGAAUAAAGUGCGGGACGUGUCCUGUUUUGUAUGUACCUUAUGAAUAAGGAUCGGCUAACUCCGUGCCAGCAGCCGCGGUAAUACGGAGGAUCCGAGCGUUAUCCGGAUUUAUUGGGUUUAAAGGGUGCGUAGGCGGCCUUUUAAGUCAGCGGUGAAAGUCUGUGGCUCAACCAUAGAAUUGCCGUUGAAACUGGGGGGCUUGAGUAUGUUUGAGGCAGGCGGAAUGCGUGGUGUAGCGGUGAAAUGCUUAGGUAUCACGCAGAACCCCGAUUGCGAAGGCAGCCUGCCAAGCCAUGACUGACGCUGAUGCACGAAAGCGUGGGGAUCAAACAGGAUUAGAUACCCUGGUAGUCCCACGCAGUAAACGCAUGAUCCACUAGCUGUUUGCGCAUACACUGUAAGCGGCACAGCGAAAGCGUUAAGUCAUCCACCUGGGGAGUA
This 465-nucleotide ribosomal RNA is filed under the name uncultured bacterium. Its description in RNAcentral is "bacterial SSU rRNA". It matches the Rfam family "Bacterial small subunit ribosomal RNA", at positions 420 to 882 of the family's 1533-position model. The record is from RNAcentral.